Molecule: ribosomal RNA, 454 nt
Filed under: uncultured organism
Description: partial 16S ribosomal RNA
Rfam family: Bacterial small subunit ribosomal RNA
Source: RNAcentral
CACUCCUACGGGAGGCAGCAGUGGGGAAUAUUGCACAAUGGGCGCAAGCCUGAUGCAGCGACGCCGCGUGGGGGAUGAAGGCCUUCGGGUUGUAAACUCCUUUCGCUAGGGACGAAGCUUUUUUGUGACGGUACCUAGAUAAGAAGCACCGGCUAACUACGUGCCAGCAGCCGCGGUAAUACGUAGGGUGCGAGCGUUGUCCGGAAUUACUGGGCGUAAAGGGCUCGUAGGUGGUUUGUCGCGUCGUCUGUGAAAUUCUGGGGCUUAACUCCGGGCGUGCAGGCGAUACGGGCAUAACUUGAGUGCUGUAGGGGUAACUGGAAUUCCUGGUGUAGCGGUGAAAUGCGCAGAUAUCAGGAGGAACACCGAUGGCGAAGGCAGGUUACUGGGCAGUUACUGACGCUGAGGAGCGAAAGCAUGGGUAGCGAACAGGAUUAGAAACCCCAGUAGUCCC